Molecule: long non-coding RNA, 1200 nt
Organism: Rosa rugosa (rugosa rose)
Lineage: Eukaryota; Viridiplantae; Streptophyta; Magnoliopsida; Rosales; Rosaceae
Exons: 5
Source: RefSeq, a predicted model, not a curated record
CAAAGUCUAAGAGAGAGAGGAACAGACUGAGAGAGAGGAAGAACGCGCCCCACGCGCGCGACAGAGAGAGGAGAAAACAGUACAGUUCGUCAGUUCUCUCCCGACCGAACGCCGCCGGCGCUCCCGCUGCUGCGUUCCGGUCCGGGAGAGGAUUUGGGUCUGGAAUGGCAGCGUUUGUCGUUGGCGGAAGCGAGUUCCAUGGAUGGAGUUAGGAGGGUCAAGCUCGGGUCUGGCAGAUCGUUUUCGAUCUGUCUUCUCCGAAUCGUGGCCGAUGGCAGACGAGGGGUGGCGCUUGAUUGCGGCUUGCCGGAAGCGAUAUCUGGUGUCUCUGCUGCAUCGGAGAUCUGUGCGGCUACUGGAUGCUCGAUCCCAUGCCAGAGGUGAGGCUGGUGCGGACCUGGCUCCUUUUCGGAUCUGGGUUCGGACGUGGAUCGGGUUCUGGGGUGGCCUUCGUUGGGUUGAGGCGACGCGGCGGCGCAGGGAUGUGGUGCGGCGGCGUAGUGGCCCAAGGAGGCGAUCUGAUGCCGGGGAUUGCUGUUGGUGGUGCUGUCCUUAUGGGUUUGGUGAAGCAUGGUGGUCUGGGCCUGGGCGUUUUCCGCUGGUUUUACUGCUUUUGGGGUUCCUUUUCUUGUUUGGACGGUUGCGUUUGCGGUUCCUUUUCUUUCGCUAUGAGUUUGACUCUCUCUUAGACUUUGUUUUCUUCUUUAUCAAAUAUGACGAUUCCUAUUGAUGAUAAUGCCCAAAUUUGAAGGAUUUACGUGUAUAUCAGCCUUAGAGAGGAGAUCUGCUACUAAAUAUUACAUUUUCCAAUAGGCCGAACCUAUUACCAAUCGCGUGAUGGCCUCCAUCCCGGAGCCUCUUUUUGGUGGACGCAUUAACGUAGUACAGAGUUAUGGUCCUGAUACGCUAGCUGGCUCUAUGAUGUACGACUUCUUUAUGGGAAUUUGGCUGCUGCUGUGACGAAAAAAAAGGGGUCAGAGGAGCCACUUGGACUUUUCUUUACACUCUUGCUGCUCAGGAGGCUUGCAACAACACUAGAGUAAUUGGUAUGUGAAGUAGAUCGAGGAAGAUCCCUGCAAAGUUUAUCUUGAAGUAGAGGAAAAUAACUAACUUGUAAAGCUUAAUCUUGUAAAUUUUGGUAGAAGCUCCAUUCCUUUUGUAACAUUCAUGAGGAAAAUUAAAAUGUAAUAUUUCUUUUUA